Molecule: unclassified non-coding RNA, 891 nt
Filed under: Onchocerca volvulus
Lineage: Eukaryota; Metazoa; Nematoda; Chromadorea; Rhabditida; Onchocercidae
Description: c3HC-type domain-containing protein
Source: RNAcentral
AUGAACAUGAAGAAGGAAGGUGAAUUUACUCGAUUAAAACGAAAUGCUUCAAAACUUCUCCAUCAAGCUCAUGAACAAACUCACGCACAACAACGCCGGUUGUCUACAAAUGGAAGAUGCCGGUCAGCAUGCGAUCAACUGGAUGCACGUGUCAGAAAACGAUUGAGCUCUUUCACCGUAUGUUAAUAGCCGGUGAAAUGGGCUGGAAAACCGAGCAAGUUGUCACCUCUAAUGUUCGCAUCACAUGGAUGGAUUUGUGUAUCCUCAGAUAUGGUGCAGUGUGAGGCCUGUGGUCAAUAUAUGAGUGUUUUGAUACCCUCACUAGUGCAUGCUGAUGUUAGCGUUUAUCAAAAAUCAGUCAGAAUGCUUAUUUCCAUGAUCACCAUGAAACAUUACGUUACAUGUCCAUAUAAGUACACUUCUUCUGGUACAGAUGAUGCUGUAUCACUGAACGCACUCUCUAAAGACACUGUCAAUCAUAGUUAUGAAAUAAUGAAGAAGCUUGAUCUCAAGCAAAUUAAAUUGGAUAUCCCCGGAACCCUGUCAACUAUAAUUCCUGAGACGAUUGUACAAAAGUGCAAAGCACUCAUUUGUUUUGGCUGGCAAAAAAGCAAAUAUUUGGAUGAUGCUGUAGUUUGCAUAUAUUGCAAUAGGACAGUGGGACUAUGGCUUUUAAGAGGACGUUUUUUUGAUGUCGAGAAACAACAUCAUAAUUGGUGUACUUUUGCAUCAGAUACAAGCCGACAUACAGAUGGAUGGCAGUGCCGUCAGUUUGUACUUCAAUAUAUUAACAGCUCAAAGGAUCUUCCCGUCACAAACUGGGCUGCUAAAGCAGAAGUUUGGAAAUCAGCUAUAAUGCCAAAAAAUAUAUCAUCUCUCAUAAAAGAAUAA